Molecule: ribosomal RNA, 408 nt
Filed under: uncultured bacterium
Lineage: Bacteria
Description: partial 16S ribosomal RNA
Rfam family: Bacterial small subunit ribosomal RNA
Source: RNAcentral
GACGAACGCUGGCGGCGUGCCUAAUACAUGCAAGUCGAGCGAAGCGGCGGAUGGGUGAGUCACGCGUGGGUAACCUGCCCUUAAGUCUGGGAUACCCUUUGGAAACAGAUGCUAAUACCGGAUACUAAAGGAUGGACCUGCGAUGCAUUAGCUAGUGGGUAAGGUAACGGCUUACCAAGGCGAUGAUGCAUAGCGCAGUUGAGCGAGUGAUUGGCAACAUGGGGACUGAGACACGGCCCAAACUCUUACGGGAGGCAGCAGUAGGGAAUCUUACACAAUGGACGAAAGGCUGAUGGAGCAACGCCGCGUGAGUGAAGAAGGUUUUAGGAUCGUAAAGCUAUGUUGUUGGUGAAGCGGUAAUCAACCAGAAAGUCACGGCUAACUACGUGCCAGCAGCCGCGGUAAUUC